GACGAACGCUGGCGGCGUGCUUAACACAUGCAAGUCGAACGGAAAGGCCCUGCUUUUGUGGGGUGCUCGAGUGGCGAACGGGUGAGUAACACGUGAGUAACCUUCCCUUGACUUUGGGAUAACUUCAGGAAACUGGGGCUAAUACCGGAUAGGAGCUCCUGCUGCAUGGUGGGGGUUGGAAAGUUUCGGCGGUUGGGGAUGGACUCGCGGCUUAUCAGCUUGUUGGUGGGGUAGUGGCUUACCAAGGCUUUGACGGGUAGCCGGCCUGAGAGGGUGACCGGCCACAUUGGGACUGAGAUACGGCCCAGACUCCUACGGGAGGCAGAAGUGGGGAGUAUUGCAAAAUGGGCGGAAGCCUGAUGCAGAAACGCCGCGUGCGGGAUGACGGCCUUCGGGUUGUAAACCGCUUUCGCCUGUGACGAAGCGUGAGUGACGGUAAUGGGUAAAGAAGCACCGGCUAACUACGUG
Molecule: ribosomal RNA, 468 nt
Filed under: uncultured bacterium
Lineage: Bacteria
Description: partial 16S ribosomal RNA
Rfam family: Bacterial small subunit ribosomal RNA
Source: RNAcentral